GAUGAACGCUAGCGAUAGGCUUAACACAUGCAAGUCGAGGGGCAGCACAAGGUAGCUUGCUAUCUGGGUGGCGACCGGCGCACGGGUGCGUAACGCGUAUGCAACUUGCCCUAUACAGGAGGAUAACCCGUCGAAAGACGGACUAAUACUGCGUAUGCUCACAACUUGACAUCAAGUGGUGAGGAAAGAAAUUCGGUAUAGGAUAGGCAUGCGUCCCAUUAGCUUGUUGGUGAGGUAACGGCUCACCAAGGCAACGAUGGGUAGGGGAACUGAGAGGUUUAUCCCCCACACUGGUACUGAGACACGGACCAGACUCCUACGGGAGGCAGCAGUGAGGAAUAUUGGUCAAUGGGCGCGAGCCUGAACCAGCCAAGUCGCGUGAAGGAUGACUGUCUUAUGGAUUGUAAACUUCUUUUAGACGGGAAUAACAAGAGUCACGUGUGACUCCCUGCAUGUACCGUAUGAAUAAGCAUCGGCUAACUCCGUG
Molecule: ribosomal RNA, 487 nt
Filed under: uncultured bacterium
Lineage: Bacteria
Description: partial 16S ribosomal RNA
Rfam family: Bacterial small subunit ribosomal RNA
Source: RNAcentral